RNAcentral lists this small RNA (763 nucleotides) under Cryptococcus neoformans H99. Its description in RNAcentral is "Cryptococcus neoformans var. grubii H99 hypothetical RNA". The record is from RNAcentral. Lineage: Eukaryota; Fungi; Basidiomycota; Tremellomycetes; Tremellales; Cryptococcaceae.
AUUGAAUCAUGGCCAGCAUCCUUACAACUCACUCUGUGCUAUAAAACAUCAUAGGCCAUUUCCUCAGUUCCUGACAUAGAUUACGAAUCAUUUCAACCCAUCUGCGGUUACCGACACUUCAAAAUCAAUCGGUUUCAGGUCAAACAGUUGACUAUCCCCAACAAUCUCAUCCUCGCCGUCUUCUUCUAUCUAGUCUUUCCCCUUGGACACUGUCCCUUCUUAGGUCACUUCAUACUCAACCCAUUUCCAGUGAGUCGCCAUGCUCCCAUUAAUGAAGAAAUAAAUCACUCCGUACCAGCUUCACUAUCUAGCUCGUUGAGUCGUGUGGCUCCACUCGAGUUUGACUAGAUCGGGUAGUUGCCUUCGAAUUUGGAGCUAAGCUUACCUAAAGCACGUUGGUACUGCGAACAAAUGUUCAAAUUUGAAAUGUACUUAAUGACAAACACAAGGGUAGGCCGGGCGACCACGUUACUUGCAGCGUCCACUUUUUAUGGUUUCAGAGCGAAAAGGAAUUAUGUAGAAAAUAGGUGUUGCCAGCGGGUAUUUUUUCUUUUUUGAACUGUCGGACAUCCAUGUUCCUACACCGCCGUUCAACUGAAACGUCUGAUGGACAUCCUUUGCGGCGGCGUCCGCGCGCGAUACAAUUCCGUGGUUUAUUUUACAUCCUGGGGAUAUCCCAAACCUAGAAACAUCCAGGCGACGUUUUUAAAAAUAUCCGCCGCGACAUCCAAAGGACAUCUGCACCCAAUGUUUGUGGAUAUAC